AUGGCGGAUGCACCUCUGUACAAGCAGCGCCGCACGUACACCAGGGAGCUCGGCAACCACAAGCUCCACGUCGUUUGCACAAGCAAGGGUGAAGACGUGGAUAAGAUGUUGUCCACGUUCAGGAGGAAGCUCGGUGGAAUGCCUGUCAAACUAGUCGGCGUUGAUGUCGAGUACACACACUACGUGAAGCCACAGCGGGCCAAUGGAACUAGACAAAUUCCUAAUGAAUGGUGA
RNAcentral lists this ribosomal RNA (234 nucleotides) under Triticum aestivum (bread wheat). RNAcentral's name for it is "partial small subunit ribosomal RNA". The record is from RNAcentral. Lineage: Eukaryota; Viridiplantae; Streptophyta; Magnoliopsida; Poales; Poaceae.